Loxodonta africana (African savanna elephant) is the source of this 6348-nucleotide long non-coding RNA. RefSeq lists it as uncharacterized. The record is from RefSeq and is a predicted model, not a curated record. Lineage: Eukaryota; Metazoa; Chordata; Mammalia; Proboscidea; Elephantidae. The transcript has 2 exons.
GGCUAAAACACAAUUUGUUCCAAAUAGUUAACCAGUUGGCUGAGCAUGCUUUAUUAUAUAAUUCAUUCUUCCCCAUGUAUGUGGGUGUCACUGGUAUCACAUUGCACCAAGCAGUGUCACAGCACGUACCCAUGAAGGGAGGGUGAAGGUGGUGGGUUGGGGUUCUCUCCAUGUGGCAGGGUGAUUUCACCCAGCUUCCCUGCCACUCUCCCUCGGUCAUCUGCUUUUCUGCAUAUAGAGUGGUGUCCCCUGGGCCACAACCACUGCCUCUUUCAGUGUGAUCAUGCUGGACUGCUCGGUGUUUCCUGUUCCCCUCUCACUUACAAACCUGCAAACUUUACACGUUCUCAGAACAUCCCAUUAAUUGCAAGAAAGUCACUAUGUUAGAGUUGGUCUUUGUUUUAUUUACUGGGAGUAACACAUUGGUUUUAUAACUCCAUCACACUUCCACACAGCUGGAGAGGUGUCAGAUGUUUUGGUGGUUACAGAGGGGGCAGGUGUGACUGCCUUUUCCCUCCUGUGGCCCAGAUGGACUUCUCUGACAGCCAGGGUAGAACUAAGAAGAAAACACAGGCCCUCAUGCCGCCUGCACAGCGCUCCCCCACAAGCCCACACUUCCUCCCAGGUUUUCAAGGGUAGGUACAUCAUUAUAAGAUAAAUGAGGCUUUCUAAAGACCGCCUGAAAACACAGGUGCCUCCACCCGCUUGGUCUACAGGAGAUUUACCAAAGCUGAUCGAAGCUGCCUUGGAUUUUUCCUCGAAGAGCUCCACUCGUCAGUGUCUACACAGUCAGAUAGGCGGAGCCAAGAUGGCAGAAUAGAGCCCUUCUUACAACAAAGACCCCAAAAAACAAGUGAAACAAGUAUAUUCAUGACAAGCUAGGAGCACUGAGCAUCAAAGACAAGCUUAAAAAAUGAACAGAGGGGCAGGGGGAGGAAGAGAUGGUUCAGAAGCGGAGAGGAGUUACCAGUCCUGAAUCAUGGGGAGCCCUCAGGCACCAUUCCAGGCACAAUUUGCGGCAGCGGGCUGGUACUAGUGUUCGGCCGCAGCUUCCUCAGGGAGAGGCAGCCAGCCACACAGCCUACUCACAUCUCCGGAAGCAGAAAGAAUGGCGCUCUUGGCAAAAGCUAAGUACUUGUGUAUAUAUUUUUUUUCUACCUACCAAGCCAGCUUUAGCAGUUGAGUUCCCCGGGCCUGAGAUAGGCCCUGCUGAGUGCCUAAAGCCAUCCUCCCAGCCUUGGAGAAUGAAUAAAAUUGCAUUUGGGGGAAAAAAUAAUUUGCCAGCUCCACUUACCAGGGGAGCUCAGGACAGAAGCAGCUCCUGUCCAGGCAUAAACGGUCUAUGGACUUUGAGUACCUUUCCCCUCUGCAUGGACCUGUGUGGGCCUAUUUCAGGAUAACACGCCCUUGUUGACAGACUCCAACCAUUUCAGCAGUGCACCGGAGAGGUGGGUGUUUGAUGUUUGACAUUGCUUUGCCUAUUAAACAGGGUCCUUACCCGCCCACAUCAGCGACCUAAGGACUGGUAGCUCCACUCAGGUCACCCAGCCACUCACGAAAGGGGUCUAAAGAUAACUGGUACCUCCCAGUCCUUACAACCAAAAACAUUGGGUGCCCAUGGUCAGUCUACAGAACCCACCCACCUGUACGCUCUAGGGAACAGGAACAUGCCUUCCUCAGAGACACAUGGAGGACAAUUCUUAGCCCCCUGCCUUGUUCAGAGUGUGACCCCCUGCUGCAACCAUAUACCGGUACCUACACCAAUCAACCCUGCCCCUUUAAUACUGUAGGACAGAGCCUGGACCACACACUUGAUGAGCGGCUACCUGGAAACCUGAGCUGAAUUCAUACAAGAAAAGUGAAUGGACUCCUAGACUGAUACACCUGAUAACAGCUCUAGCCAUCUGGGGACAGGAUGUCAGAGCUCCAAAGGUGAAAAUAAUCAAGGUAGCUCACUCAAGCAACCCAUCUGGGUAUAUCAAAGCAAAACAAAGCAAGAAGCUACAACACAGUAAGCAAACAAAAAAUAAACUAAUACAAUAACUAACAGGUGGCUCAGAGACAACAGUCAAUAUCAAGUCACAUAAAGAAACAGACCAUGAUCACCUCAACAAGCUCUCAAAGAAUCAAGGGAUCUCGUAGAUGAAAGUGCAUUCCUGGAAUUACCAGAGCCAGAAUACAAAAGAUUAAUAUACAGAACCCUUCAAGACAUCAGGAAGGAAAUGAGGCAAGACACAGAACAAGCCAAAGAACACACAGAUAAAGCAAUUGAAGAAAUUAAAAAGAUUAUUCAGGAACAUAAUGAAAAAUUUAAUAAGCUGGAAAAAUCCAUAGACAGACAGCAAUCAGAAAUUCAGAAGAUUAACAAUAAAAUUACAGAAUUAGACAACUCAAUAAAAAGUCAGAGAAGCAGAAUUGAGCAAGUGGAAGGCAGCAUUUCUGAACUUGAAUAUAAAGCACUUGGCACUAAAUAGUUGAAGAAAAGUCAGAUAAAAGAAUUUUUAAAAAUGAAGAAAUCUUAAGAAUCAUGUGGGACUUUAUCAAGAGAAAUAACCUACGAGUGAUUGGAGUACCAUAACAGGGAGGGAUAACAGAAAAUACAGAGAGAAUUGUUCAAGAUUUGUUGGCAGAAAACUUCCCUGAUAUCAUGAAAGAUGAGAAGAUAUCUAUCCAAGAUGCUCAUCAAACUCCACAUAAGGUAGAUCUUAAACGAAAGUAACCACCCAGUGCUGUCGAGUCUAAUCAAACUUGCCAAAACCAAAGAUAAAGAAUUUUAAGAGCAGCUAGGGAUAAACGAAAAGUCACCUACAAAGGAGAGCUAAUAAGAAUAAUCUUGGACUACUCGGCAGAAACCAUGCAGGCAAGAAGGCAAUGGGAUGACUUAUAUAAAAAAUUGAAGGAAAAAACUGCCAGCCAAGAACCAUAUAUCCAGCAAAACUGUCUCUCAAAUAUGAAGAUGAAAUUAGGACAUUUCCAGAUAAACAGAAAUUUAUAAAAACCAAAUCAAAACUACAAGAACUACUGAAGGGAGUUGUUUGGUUGGAAAAUCAAUAAUAUCAGGUAUCAACCCAAGACUAGAACACUGGGCAGAGCAAUCAGAAGUCAACCCAGACAGGGAAAUCCAAAAAAAUAAAUAAAGAUAAAAAAAUGCUCAAAACAGGGUAACAGCGAUGUUAUUAUGUAAAAAAAGACAACAUUAAAACAAUAAAGAGGGACUAAGAAACGUAGUCAUAGAUCUUCCAUAUGGAGAGGAAGACAAGGUGAUACAAAGAAAUAAAAGUUCAUUAUACUCAUCAAAAUAAAAUACAAGAAAAAAAAUAGAGACUCAGCAGAAACAAAAUCAACAGCGAAUAUGAGGAAAGGACAAUUUAUACAGAUAAUCUACUCAGCACAUAAAAUUAAGUGGGAAAAAGAAACUGUCAACAACACACAAAAAAAGACAUCAAAAUGAUAGCACUAAAUUCAUACCUAUUCAUAAUUACGCUGAAUGUAAAUGGACUAAAUGCACCAAUAAAGAGAUAGAGAGUGGCAGACUGGAUUAAAAAACACUAUCUGUCUAUAUGCUGCCUACAAGAGACACACCUUAGACUUAGAGACACAAACUAAAAUGUAAAGGAUGGAAAAAAAUAUAUCAAGCAAACAACAAUCAAAAAAGAGCAGGAGUGGCAAUAUUAAUUUCUGACAAAACUUUCUUUUCAAAUAAGUCAAAUAUAAAGAAAAGUAUACCCACUGUCAAAUUCGGCAAAUUUAAUAUUUUGCCAAAGUCGCUUCAGUUUUUUUUUAUUUCAAGAAAUAAAAUGUUAGUGCUAAAACCCCCAUCAACUCCCCACUUCCUUCCACCCCCAGAGUAACCUCUAUUCUGAAGUUUGUGGGUUCUGUCUGCUCAGGCUUUUAUACUUUUAUACCUGUAACACAUUUAUCACAUAAGUAUGUAUCUAAAAAUAAUGAUAUAAUAAUAAAUAACACAUAGCUUUGUUUUGCAUCUGGUUUUAUUUUUUUGAGUGAUGUCAGGUUAUAUAAACACUUUUGAAAUUUGUUAAUUUCAUUCUACAUUAUGUUUUGAGAUUUAUUUGUGUAGAUGUGUUUGGAGCUAAUGCACUCAAUGUGUUAUGUUUUAUUAAUUUAUCACCAGAUUUUCUGUUUGUGUUAGUUUAGGUGCAUAGCGUGCUUGCUACCUAAACUUGUCCCUUUCCUCUAGGUUCUCAAAUUUGUUGAAGUACAAUUUUUCAUAGUAUUCUAUUAUGAUUCUUUUUAUUUCAGUUGGGUCUGUUGUAAUGUUCCCAGUCUCAUUACUUAUGCAGGUUAUUUGUAUCCUCUCUCAUUUUUGUUUAGUCAGUUUGGUCAAUGGUUUGCCAAUUUUGUUGAUCUUUUCAAAGAACCAACUUUUGAUCUUGUUGAUUCUUUCUACUGUUUUUGUGUUUUCUAUUUCAUUUAUUUCUGCUCUAAUCUUUAUUAUUUCCUUUCUUCUGAUGCCUGUGGGCUUCUUUUGCUGUUUUCUUUCUAUUUGUUGAAGUUAUAGGGCUAACAUUUUGAUUUUGGCCCAUUCCUCUUUUUUGAUGUGUGGGUUUAUUGCUAUAAAUUGACCUCUAAGCACUGCCUUUGCUGUGUCGCAAAAGUUUUGGUACAAUGUCUUUUCAUUCUCAUUUGAUUCUAGGAAUUUUCUGAUUGCCUCUUUAAUUUCUUCUAGUAUCCAGUUGUUUUUAAGCAAGAUUUUCAGUUUCCAUGUAAUUGAUUCUUUUUUUCCCCCUUCAUCAUCCUGUUACUGAUUUCUGCUUUUCUGGUGUUGAGAUCAGACCGAAUGCUUUGUAUUAUUUCAGUGUUUUGGAUUUUAUUGAGGGUUGCUUUGUGGCCUGAAAUGUGGUCUAUUCUGGAGAAUGUUCCUUGUGCUUUGGAAAAGAAUGUAUACUUUGUUGCUGUUGGGUGGAGUGUUCUAUAUGUCUGUGAGAUCAAGUUGGUUGAUUCUGGCCUUUAGAUCUUCUGUAUCUUUGCAGAGUUUCUUUCCAGAUAGAGUUUCUUUGUGUCCCUUACCAAGAGCUGUGUGUUGAAGUCUCCUAAUAUUUUUGUGGAACUACCUAUUUCUCUUUUCAGUGUCGUUAGUUUGUUUUAUGUAUUUUGGAGCCCUGUCAUUGGGUGCAUAGAUAUUUAUUAAGUUUAUGUCUUCUUGGUGGAUUGUCCCUUUAAUCAUUACCUAAUGUCCUUUCUUGUCUUUUAUGGUUGGCUUUGCCUUAAAGUCCAUUUUCUCUCAGAUUAGUAUUCCCACUUCUGCUCUUUUUCUGUCACUGCUUUACAUAUUUUUUUCAAUCCUUUGAUUUUUAAUAUAUUUAUGUCUUUGUGUCUAAGGUGUGUCUCUUGUCUACAGCAUAUUGAUCAAUUGUGGUUUUUAAUUCAUUCCCCCACUCUGUCUCCUUACAAGAGCUUUUCAGCCAUUUACAUUCAGCGUGAUUAUCAGUGGGGUGUGAGUUUAUUGCUGUCAUAUUGUUGUGCUUUUUUUGUGUGGUGCUGACAUUUUCUAUGUUCCUUUUACUUUGUGCACUGAGUUCUUUUUAUUUGUGGGUUUUUUUUUCUCUUCUUUCAUUAUUAUAGUUUUUGUGUUUACUGAGUCUUUGUUUUUCUUCUUUUUUAUGCUGAUGAGUAGGUUUGUUAACUUUGUUUGUGGUUACCAUGAAAUUAAUCCCUAUCUUCCUAAGUUUAACCCAGUCUUUUAUUACUUGACAUCACCUUGACUUCCACUCCAUUUGAAAGUUCUAAAAAAAAAAAAAAAAAAACUACCAGUUAUUACCCUUUUAUUGUUUUGAUAUUGUCAUCAUUUACAGAUUGACACCUCUGUUUCAAGUCUUUUAGUUUGUUUUAUUACUGGUUGGUAUCUGGCUGAUGCUGUCCUGCGUUCUAGACUCCGGUUGUUGUCUGAUGUUUUUGGUUCUCUAAAUGAUGGACUCCUAUUAAUAUUUCUUAUAAGUUUGGUUUGGCUUUUACAAAUUCCCUUAAUUUCUGUCUAUCUGGAAAUGUCCUAAUUUUGCCAUAGUAUUUGAGAAAGAGUUUUGCAAGAUACAUUAUUUUUAUUUGGUAGUUUUUGUUUUUUUUCUUUCAAGGUUUUAUAUGUGUCGUCCCAUUGCCUUCUUGCUUGCAUAGUUUCUGCCGUGUAAUUAGAGCUUGGUCUUAUUGUUUCUCCUUUGUAAGUGACUUUACAUUUUUCUCAAGUUGCUCUCAGGAUUCUUUGUCUUUGGGUUUGGCAAGUGUAAUUAUGACAUGUUUUGGUGUCUUUCUUUUGGGUUCUAUCCUAUAUGGGGUUCACUGAGCUUCUUGGAUGGUCAUCUUUCAUGGUAUUUGGGAAGUUUUCUCUCAGCAAAC